This 442-nucleotide ribosomal RNA is filed under the name uncultured bacterium. RNAcentral's name for it is "partial 16S ribosomal RNA". It matches the Rfam family "Bacterial small subunit ribosomal RNA", at positions 339 to 795 of the family's 1533-position model. The record is from RNAcentral.
CUACGGGCCGCAGCAGUGGGGGAUAUUGCACAAUGGAGGAAACUCUGAUGCAGCAACGCCGCGUGAGGGAAGAAGGUUUUCGGAUUGUAAACCUCUGUCCUUGGUGAAGAAACAAAUGACGGUAGCCAAGGAGGAAGCCACGGCUAACUACGUGCCAGCAGCCGCGGUAAUACGUAGGUGGCAAGCGUUGUCCGGAUUUACUGGGUGUAAAGGGUGGGCAGGCGGGACUGCAAGUUGGAUGUGAAAUACCGAGGCUUAACUUCGGGGCUGCAUCCAAAACUGUGGUUCUUGAGAGAUGUAGAGGUAAGCGGAAUUCCGAGUGUAGCGGUGAAAUGCGUAGAUAUUCGGAGGAACACCAGUGGCGAAGGCGGCUUACUGGGCAUUUUCUGACGCUGAGGCACGAAAGUGUGGGGAGCAAACAGGAUUAGAUACCCGUGUAGUC